GAGGGUAUAGCUCAAAUGGUAAAGCGCAAGCUUAGCGUGCAUGAGGUCAUAGGUUCAAUCCCCAGUACCUCCU
This 73-nucleotide transfer RNA is filed under the name Camelus bactrianus (Bactrian camel). It matches the Rfam family "tRNA". From Rfam's summary of the family: Transfer RNA (tRNA) molecules are approximately 80 nucleotides in length. Their secondary structure includes four short double-helical elements and three loops (D, anti-codon, and T loops). RNAcentral also lists the same sequence under 1 other name. Lineage: Eukaryota; Metazoa; Chordata; Mammalia; Artiodactyla; Camelidae. The record is from Rfam by way of RNAcentral.